Molecule: ribosomal RNA, 484 nt
Filed under: uncultured bacterium
Lineage: Bacteria
Description: partial 16S ribosomal RNA
Rfam family: Bacterial small subunit ribosomal RNA
Source: RNAcentral
GAUUAACGCUAGCGGCAGGCGUAAUACAUGCAAGUUGAACGGCAGCACAGGUAGCAAUACUGGGUGGCGAGUGGCGCACGGGUGCGUAACACGUAUGCAACCUACCCUAUACAGGCGAAUAACCUUUAGAAAUGAGGGCUAAUACGCCGUAGUAUUACAGAUGGGCAUCUAUUUGUAAUUAAAGAUUUAUCGGUAUAGGAUGGGCAUGCGUCCCAUUAGUUAGUUGGUAAGGUAACGGCUUACCAAGACGAUGAUGGGUAGGGGAUCUGAGAGGACUUACCCCCACACUGGUACUGAGACACGGACCAGACUCCUACGGGAGGCAGCAGUAAGGAAUAUUGGGCAAUGGCCGCGAGGCUGACCCAGCCAUGCCGCGUGCAGGAAGACGGCCUUAUGGGUUGUAAACUGCUUUUAUACGGGAAUAAUAGAGUGUACGCGUACAUUUAUGCAAGUAUCGUAUGAAUAAGCAUCGGCUAACUCCGUG